GGGGGUGGGAGGGGGGGUCUCCAGAGAAACGAACAUAUGACGUUUCUCGUGGACAAAAUCGAUAUGUGAGGCUUCCCUAGCUAGUGUUGGAAAACAGGUAGCUAUAUAACUGAGCAUGUAGCUAAUUACCUAUUAAUGCCUAUUUAUAUACUAUAUAUAGAUGUAUCCCUUCUAAUUCAUUUUAUAAUUGUUAAGGGAAAUAGAACAUAUGUAAAGCAGCUAAAGCGAGUUUUUAUUAUUUAUGAUCAAGAUUAUUUAUAUCAGACAAGAACAAUAUCGCAUAGUUUUACAUUGCAGUGGACUUUGUUCAACACGGUGACGUCACUGCAUAGGUUCGUUUAUUUUUGCUCCUUUGUGCACGAUGAGAGAGUUGUAUUGUACAAUUCUUAAAUGCUGUGAACUCUGUAGAAGAUGUAACUACUUGAAAAAUACAAAAAGAUGUCGAAAGGUCUUUCCUCGAAAUGUCGAACUCUUUUUGUAUUUUUAGGUAUAGUUGCAUCAUCUACAGUGUUCGCAGGUCCAUCGCUUUAAUUGAAUAUAAUUCCAAUACUUUCAAAUAAGUUUGGAUUAGUCAUUAGGACGGAACCGCAACUACAUAAAUAUAGCAACCUCUGCCAUAUUUCAAGACAUAUCAUAGGGCUAAGAACAAGCGCCUUUCAGUGGGUCGACGGAAAGGGCGAAACGUAGGUCUGAUGAAAAUGUUGUCAAAAUCGCCUUCCGCCCACUUUGCAUUUUGCAAUAAUUAACGAUGAUGAUUGACACAUUUAAGCCUGGUUCACACGAUGAAAUAAGCAUAAGCACAAGCAGCGGAACCUUUGAUGUGCAUAAACGUAAGCAUAAGAAGAACGCAACAUUUGUUCUUCUUAUGCUUACGUUUAUGCACAUCAAAGGUUCCGCUGCUUGUGCUUAUGCUUAUUUCAUCGUGUGAACCAGGCUUUACAUGUAAACACCUAAAAAUGCAAUAAAAGUUGUCGAUUCACUUUAUUGAAAGUUUGUAAACAAAGUAAGAGUCGAUAAGUACAGAUGUUUGAAUAAAUAUUAAAAAUAUUCGUAACCCCAGGCAGUAUAUUGCUUUUAUGUACUCUUAACCCUUGCAAGCAAACAGUUACAGCUAGUAAUAAUACAACAUUUCCAACACAUUCUAUAAAUGCAAUAAAAUCUGCCUACGCAAAUUUGGCAAUGGGCGGGCCGGGACAAGCCAUGUCCCAUUGUUGAAUUGCAUCCAAACUCUUACAAUUUAUACAUUUUGAAACCGCCAUAUAAUGCUAAAAUUUAAAUAAAAUAUAUUUUAUUAUAUUGACAAUGGUGUUUUACUGGAAACUAAAACACUCGUAGAACUCAUACGUCACUACAUCCGGGGCCAGAUGUGCGUAUUUUCCGUAUUUCACCCCUGCUAGACUGCUAGUGACAUACGAAGUUCGAAAAUUUCCCG
This is a non-coding RNA of Paramuricea clavata, 1432 nucleotides long. The record is from the annotation of a GenBank genome assembly. NCBI's taxonomy places the organism in Eukaryota, Metazoa, Cnidaria, Anthozoa, Malacalcyonacea, Plexauridae.